This is a non-coding RNA of Physcomitrium patens, 2015 nucleotides long. NCBI's taxonomy places the organism in Eukaryota, Viridiplantae, Streptophyta, Bryopsida, Funariales, Funariaceae. The record is from RefSeq and is a predicted model, not a curated record.
UCUUGGAGUUCUAGUUCACCUUUCUGGUGUUGUUCUUGUACUCAUCUGUUUAAUCUAGUUCUGCCACUUCUUCUUGAACUUCUUGUUAGAUUUCAAGUCUGUAUUUUGUGUCCGUGACACUUCCAUUGUGUGAGUAGUUAAAAUCGAUAGAUGAUCCUUGAGUCGUGUUGAUGGUGCUCUUAUCCGUGUGAAAUACCUUCUUGCUGUUGGUUUUGACUCCCCCUCUGUAGAUAAUUGUAUCCUUUAUUUUUGUUUGUCUAAUUAGUUUGCUUUGGCCAUAUUAUAGAAUACUUACGUUGGUGUUGUGUGAUCAUAUCCUGCAUACUCAUCUUUUGCUAGAAAAUCUUGGUUUAAGUCACGUUCUUGAGUAAUGUCAGAAUCACAUGCUUCAUCAAGUAAAUCGAGUAUGUGGUGAGAUAUUGGAAAUAACUCAUCAGGUGGUAGAGGAGUAGCUAAAAGAUGAUAUCCGAUACAAGUCUAAUAAAAAAAACGCUUGAAUCCAGGAGGGCUUGCAUCAGUUGCUAGCGAUCUGGCGUGCUUUAUUAUGGUCAUAUUACGACGCUCAGCUACUUCGUUUUGCUGGAGAGUCAAUGCUUGGGUGAGUUGUCUAGUAAUUUUGCGAGUUUCACAAUAAGUCUUCAAUUUGCUGGACAAGAAUUCUCCACCAUGGUCUGUUCAAAGUGAUGUGAUUUUGUUUUGAGUUUUUGUUUCAAUGACCUCCUUGAAGAUCCUAAGUUUUGAGGUCUUAGCCUUGUUGUUUAAGAAGUAUGUCUAGCUUUUGGGGGAAAAACCAUCUGUGAAAACAUCAAAAUAUCUAGAACCUCCUAAGGAUGUGGUUAGAAGAGGGCCAACCAAAUCAGAAUGGAUCAAUUCAGCUCGCUUAAUUGAUCUAUUUUUGGAGUGGCGAGGAAAUCUCUCCCGAUGUUGUCUCCCUGCAAGGCAGCUUUUACAUACUACUUUUAUAUACUACUAAUUGUGUUUAAGCAAGUGUGUAAGGCUAUAAUGGUUCAGGUGUCCAUAUCUUCGAUGCCAAAUAUCAUUGUUGUCUGAUUAGUCUACGUUAAUAACUUGAGGAUCAAAUCCAAAGUUGUACAAUUUGUUUAUUGAAUCACAAUAGCCAAGAGCAAUAAUGUUUUUAUUUUUGAGAUUAUCUAGUAUCCCGCAGUGGGAGUUUGAGAAGACAACUAUAUUUUUAGUGUCUGAAACAACACCAAUUGAAAUCAGGCUUUUUUGAAGGCCAAGCACGUACAACACAUUAGUUAUGUUUAUUUCACCGAAAUCAGUUUUUAUAGUGGAUGUGCCAAUACCUUGGAUGGCAUGAUUUUCUCCUCCUGCAUUUCAUAUGUGUCUCCCUGUGCUACCUUCUCCAAGUUGAUUGAUCUUACUAUUUGAGUUGGUCACGUGAAUAGUUACACCGCUGUCCAUGUACCAUGACUGGGGGCUGUGAAUGUGUCAUGACAGCUCUGAUAAGGUAGCCUUGAGGUUUUCUACAGCUUUUGCGUAACUAGAACAAGUAAACUAACCUCUGUGUGAGUUAAAUGAUUGUCGUGGUUGACUCUGGCAACCAGCAGCAAUGUGUCCAAGUUGCCCAUAGUUGAUUACAUGUAAAAGUUGGGCAUUGAAAUCCUCUUCUGUUUUGUCCUCUGCAUUUGGAGAAUUAACCUCUAGCUCUAACAUUUGAACCUCGUCAAUACUAACCUUUGAACAGAGGAGCAUAAAAACCAAGAAUUUGAAUGUUGGCUCCUUAAUGGAAGUAAGUUGCCAGAGCCUCCUCAUUGCCUAGUUAAGAUGUUCUUUGCUCCUCUCAAGCUGCUUCAGUUAGUAGCUUGGUUGUGAGCUGCUCAAAAGUUAAUACAGUAUUGAGAUUGCUCAGCGUUUUAACUGUGCCCUCAUAGCUUUUGGGCAAUCCAUAUCCAGGAGCUGCUAGAUACCUCAGUAAAAAACGACUUCUUCCAUAGAAAGAAGUUUGUUCCAAACAUCAGAUCCCUUGUUGAUAUAAUCUUCCAUCAAGCUUC